RNAcentral lists this ribosomal RNA (777 nucleotides) under uncultured marine microorganism. Its description in RNAcentral is "bacterial SSU rRNA". It matches the Rfam family "Bacterial small subunit ribosomal RNA", at positions 8 to 830 of the family's 1533-position model. The record is from RNAcentral.
AGAGUUUGAUCAUGGCUCAGGAUGAACGCUGGCGGUAUGCCUAACACAUGCAAGUCGAACGAUGUCUUCGGACAUAGUGGCGGACGGGUGAGUAACGCGUGAGAAUCUGCCUCUAGGAUGGGGAUAACGGUUGGAAACGACCGCUAACACCCAAUAUGCCGUAAGGUGAAAAAUUUAUUGCCUGGAGAGGAGCUCGCGUCUGAUUAGCUAGUUGGUGGGGUAAGAGCUCACCAAGGCUUCGAUCAGUAGCUGGUCUGAGAGGAUGAGCAGCCACACUGGGACUGAGACACGGCCCAGACUCCUACGGGAGGCAGCAGUGGGGAAUUUUCCGCAAUGGGCGAAAGCCUGACGGAGCAAUACCGCGUGAGGGAGGAAUGCCUUUGGGUUGUAAACCUCUUUUCUCAGGGAAGAAGAUCUGACGGUACCUGAGGAAUAAGUAUCGGCUAACUCCGUGCCAGCAGCCGCGGUAAUACGGAGGAUGCAAGCGUUAUCCGGAAUCAUUGGGCGUAAAGCGUCCGCAGGUGGUUUCCAAAGUCUGCUGUUAAAGACUGGAGCUCAACUCCGGAACGGCGGUGGAAACUUGGAAACUAGAGUUCGGUAGGGGUAGCAGGAAUUCCCAGUGUAGCGGUGAAAUGCGUAGAUAUUGGGAAGAACAUCGGUGGCGAAGGCGUGCUACUGGACCGUAACUGACACUCAGGGACGAAAGCUAGGGGAGCGAAAGGGAUUAGAUACNNCUGUAGUCCUAGCUGUAAACGAUGGAAACUAGGUGUGGCUUGU